CCAAUAGCGUAUAUUAAAGUUGUUGCAGUUAAAAAGCUCGUAGUUGAAUUUCGGGAUCAAUAUAUUGGUCGUGCCUCCGGUAUGCACUGGUAUUAUUGAUUUCUACCUUCUGACGAACUGUGAUGUCAUUAAUUUGGUGUCAUAGGGAAUCAGGACUGUUACUUUGAAAAAAUUAGAGUGUUUAAAGCAGGCACACGCUUGACUACAUUAGCAUGGAAUAAUGAAAUAGGACGUUUGACCCUAUUUUGUUGGUUUCUAGGAUCGACGUAAUGAUUAAUAGGGAUAGUUGGGGGCAUUAGUAUUCAAUUGUCAGAGGUGAAAUUCUUGGAUUUAUUGAAGACUAACUACUGCGAAAGCAUUUGCCAAGGAUGUUUUCAUUAAUCAAGAACGAAAGUUAGGGGAUCGAAGACGAUCAGAUACCGUCGUAGUCUUAACCAUAAACUAUGCCGACUAGGGAUCGGAUGAUGUUAAUUUUUUAAUGACUCAUUCGGCGCCUUACG
Molecule: ribosomal RNA, 500 nt
Filed under: uncultured Glomeromycotina
Lineage: Eukaryota; Fungi; Glomeromycota
Description: partial small subunit ribosomal RNA
Rfam family: Eukaryotic small subunit ribosomal RNA
Source: RNAcentral